Molecule: ribosomal RNA, 444 nt
Filed under: uncultured bacterium
Lineage: Bacteria
Description: bacterial SSU rRNA
Rfam family: Bacterial small subunit ribosomal RNA
Source: RNAcentral
AUUGAACGCCGGCGGCAUGCUUAACACAUGCAAGUCGAACGGCAGCGCGGGAAAGCUUGCUUUCCUGGCGGCGAGUGGCGGACGGGUGAGUAAUACUUAGGAAUCUGCCCACUAGUGGGGGAUAGCCCGGGGAAACUCGGAUUAAUACCGCAUAAGCCCUACGGGGGAAGGCUGGGGACCCGAGCACCAUAGCCUUUUGUCCAACCGCUCAAGGCGAGAAGAGGCUAUGGUGCUGGGCCUGGCGCUAGUGGAUGAGCCUAAGUCCUAUCAGCUAGUUGGUGGGUAAAAGCCUACCAAGGCGACGACGGGUAGCUGGUCUGAGAGGAUGAUCAGCCACACUGGGACUGAGACACGGCCCAGACUCCUACGGAGGCAGCAGUGGGGAAUAUUGGACAAUGGGCGAAAGCCUGAUCCAGCAAUGCCGCGUGUGUGAAGAAGGCCUGC